This is a long non-coding RNA of Alligator mississippiensis (American alligator), 3984 nucleotides long. RefSeq lists it as uncharacterized. The transcript has 3 exons. The record is from RefSeq and is a predicted model, not a curated record. NCBI's taxonomy places the organism in Eukaryota, Metazoa, Chordata, Crocodylia, Alligatoridae.
UUCAAACAAAGGCCAGCCAGGCAGAGUGGGCAGUUAGCUUCUUGCAGCCAAGGGAGUGGCACCAUCCAGCUCUCUUGUGGCUUGGAACAUCCUGGAGAUAAUGGCAGCUGAUGGGACAGACAGAAUUGUGAUGUACAUAGUUAAAGUCUAGUAUAAUGCAGAAGUACCUACAGUGAACAGGAAACAACGUCCAGCGAUUGACCUGGAAGACAUGGCGGUAUCUCAGGCUUAUUGUGUUGCCUUUUGUUUUCCCACAAAAACCAUCCUUUCUUAAUCAAAGAAGGACAUUUUGUGGCCUUGGUACCAUCUCUUGUUUGGGCCACUUGAUAACAGAUUGUGGAAGCCAGAUCCAGUUGCUGGUGUUACAAGUGUAUCCCUCUGGCAUCUGCUAAACUAUGAACGCUACAGGCAAAGUGAUCAGAUCUUCACACAUAAAGAAUAGCUGGUAAAAAAUGCUGAUAAGAUGAAACGGCUGGGUCCUCAGCAGACAGAAAUCGGAGCAGCUCAUUGACUUCAACGGAUCUCUGUUUCACGCCGGCUGAGGAUCUGGCUCAAAGAAAGAAAUUGAAUUUAUUGCAUAAAUAAAGCAUACGGUAGAUUUCACAGUAUGAAAUCAAGAUGAGCCAGUGAGCUUUCCUCCUUCUAAUUAGAGACUGUCACUGCUACAGUUAAACAUAGAAAAAUGGAUCACUGCCUUGCAGCUAAUUUGAAUACACAGAAGCAAAAGCAGGAAUGGGAGGAAGAUGUAGGUCAAGUGCUCCAGGAAGACGCCAAGCUGAACAUUCAAACAGCCACAAGAUGUAUUUUUGCUAGUGUCAGAAAAAACUUAAUGCAUUUGAACUAUUUUCAUGGAAUUUAUUUUACUCCUGUCAGAGAAAUUCUUAAAAUAAAACCAAGUAUGAAUGUGUAACACAGAAAGAGCCAAUAUAAAAUACUGCUGAGCUGCCCCACAACGUCUGAUCUAAUGGAAUAACGUUGCCAAUACAUACAAUAUUGUGGCUGCUGGAAAGAAAGGGACAAUUUAUGUAAUAUGGCCUACUACCUUUAAUCUAUGGAGAAACUCCUAUUGAUAUGAACAGAUCUCUGAAAAGUUCUCUACUGAGCUCUAUAAUCUAUAUAGCGGGAAAAUUUUAGAGACAUAUAUCAACUUGAGCUUCAGGAUUAAUUACAUUUUUAGAUCCAGUUCUUGUUGCAAUUUGUUUGAUCUUCUUCCAGUGCUCAGCUGCCAUCAAAAAGGAAAACAUAAUUUUGGGGAUUAUUAAGAAGGGAAUUAUAAACAAAAUGAAAAGUAUCAUCGUGCCCCUUUGUAUCAUCAUACCCCUCUAUGGUGUGUCCACACCUUGAAUGCUGUGUCCGGAUCUAGUUUGCACAGCUCUGAAAGGAUAUAUAAGAAUUAGAGAAGGUAUAGUGAAGGGCAACAAGGAUGGUUAGUAAUAUAAGAGGAGAGACUAAAGAGGCAAGGCCUAUUCCGUUUAAAAAAGAGGCGGGGCAUGAUAAGGGUUUACAAAAUACUAAAAAGUGAGGAGAAAGUAAGUUGGGAUUUAUUACUUACUAGAUGUGCCUAUUUGAGACCCUUAAUGCGCAGUAGCCUAAUAACACUGCACAGUAGAGUGCUAGGCAAAAACUGUGCCAAUACACAACUGUGCAGUAGUAUUAGGUUACUGCGCAGUAAGCACCACUAAAAAAACCUUGCACUGGCACUACUGCACAAUAACUGUAGUUACUGCACAUUUAGUUAGUACUUCAUUAAGCAAGUACUAAACUAAAUGUGCAGUAAGUACUGUGCAUUAAUGAACAUGUAGACAUGCCUGCUGUCUCUCACAAUACAAGAACUAGGGGGUCACAAAAUGAAAUGAAUAGGUAGUAAGUUUAAAACUAAGAAAAGGAAGUUCUUCUUUACAUAGUUUAUAAUUCAAGUGUGUAACUUGUUGCCACCAGAUGUUGUGGAGCAGACAGUUUAGCCAGAUUCAAAAACGGAUUGGACAAAUUCUUGGAGGAAAGGUGCACCAGUAGCUAUUGAGCAUGGGAGUGAAGGGGUAUAGCCUUCCUAGACCUUAAAUGCUGGAGGCAGAAAGUGGGAAAGGAGCAGUGGAAAAAACCCCUGGUCCUACCCUGUUCACUCUCUCUUUAGCAUCCACUCUCUGCCGCUGUGUGACACAGGAGACUGGGCAAGAUGGACCUAUGGUCUAAGUAAAAGGCAAUUCUUUUGUUCUUAUAUUUAGGAUCUUGUCUUUCUCUUUCACUUUGCCAUUCCCAUGGAUUGGUCACUGGCAUUGGUCAUGGGUCCAGUGCUCUGAAACUAUUUCUAUUGUAUCCAACUUCCUUGUUUCCUUAGCUGGACCCAAUUGCCCAGCAGCAGCUGUGGUGGCGCGGAGUUGUGCCCCCCUGCUGGCAUCACUUGCGUGUUGCCCAUGAGUCUAGAAGUUAGCAGAGAACGAAAUGCGUGGGAACAGCGUGGCUUUAGGCUCAAGCUAACUGGGCAGAUGUCUGGUGUACCAUAUCUAAGGAACACUAGAAAUGGGGCUUGCUGCUUCACAGGUCCAGUCAGUGAAAGAUUUUCUGUUGUCCUGAGUGGAAACAGGAGCAAGGCCAUGCUCUGCUUUAGUCAAAGGUACUGCACUUGAUGCAGGAAUUACUAGAAGGUGUGUGAUAGAAGAGGACAGACUGGAAGAUCUCAGUGGUCCCAUCUAGCCUAAAAUCUCUGACUGUGAGUCCUGACCACUAUGAUCAUGUAGCACACAGGCAGUUUUUUGGUAGGGAAACAUGGCUGUAGUGGUUUUUCAAGUAUUUGGUGUGGGCUUGUGCCUGUGUUCUGUAUGAUUAAAGUUACAAACAAAAUAAAUAUGCAGUAUCUCACCAUUUCCAGGCUCUCCUACUAGAAGACUGGAACAUCUAAUUUCAGAUUUUGUGGCCUCUAAUGUGGAUAGCUCUAUGAUCUAAAAAGUAACAGAACCAACAAGAGUAAAUCCUUUGCGAAAUCCUGGCGCUACUGAGCUCAUGGGAUUUUUACUAUUGACUUCAGUGAAGGCAGGAUUUCUCCAUCAUUUUUCAACAUGCCUUUUUAUGUGAAAGCUUGCAGUUGCACAGGAGGUGAGUCAGCAUAGAAUAUAGCUCUUAUUGAUGAGGGUUAGCUUGUCUCUCUAUUUAGCUGUCUCCAAGGAGGCGAUCAUAUCCUAAAGUGAGGGCUGCAAAUACCCUCUCUGUUGUGCUAACCUACUGCAGCUUUGAUAGCAAAUUUAAACAGCCAGUGCCUUCUAUUCAUCUGUCAAGCAGAAAUGGACCUCAGCCAAGAGCCUGAAUGCAAGUAGUAUCUCUUCAUAUAAGGCCCAAGGGCUAGAAAGAAUAAUACAUAUACUUAACUGGACUACUACUAGUACUGCUAAUUUGCAUUGCAGUAGUGCUGAGAGAUCUCUAUCACAGGUGUGACUUUAUUGUGGCAGAAAGAAUAUAGAGAAAGUAAGAAACGGUCCAAUCUUGUUUGAAAGAGUCUAGUCUAUGUACAAAAAGUAGAUGAAGGGUGGGAGAAAGCAAGUUCUUUCUUUUAGUAUGGCAGCAUCUUGAUGUAGUAACAUUUGCCACCCCAUUGACUUCAGUGGUAUUAAAAUUAAGGAUGUACAUUAAGGAUGUUCCAGCGACACUAGGAGGGAGAUUUGAAUUUCUGCCCAAAAUCUGCAGUUUACUCAUUCCUUUCUAAUAGACCAAACAGAAGGCCAGAAGCCAAUCAUGCAGUCAUCCUCUGAAUGAUGGGGAAGAUCCAGACUUCACAGCAUGAAAAGCUGCAUCACAACCAUUGUGAAUGGGGCACAUCCAGACAAAUAUUGUAGCUAUGUAUUUGAUUUUUCUAUUAAACAUAGCCAUAUUUUUGUCAAAGGAUGGGAGUGUUAACUCAGCUGGGUUUUGGGGUUUUUGGUUGUAGCCAUCUUGGUCUAAGGACAUAAGGAAGCAAGGUUCUUUGGUUAGAUGUGAGAUCUUUUAUUAGACCAA